UGCCAUCUCUCCAUGUGUGCCUGGCUCUUUCUUUCUUUGCCUGACAUUCUAUUUGCAAUGUUUUGGAAGGAGAAUCUGAGGCCAGAAUGAUGGCUCCUCCAGAGAGGGUGAGCCCGAGUGCCAGCAGCUUGGAGGGGCAGGGCGGCGGCUCUGGUGUCCUGCGGUUUGCGUGGGCUCUCUCUGCACUUACAGUCACAAAAAGACAGUAUCUCAGGCAGGAAUUCUCGCAGGGUGCAUGCUUCUCUUUUGACAGUUUAAUGUCACGCAUGGGUUCCUUUGUAAACAUCAGAUCAAUAGCAGAGUUCCAAAUUAAAACAUUAGGAUAAGAAGCCCAUGUUGAUUCAUCCGUCCCUGGAAUGGCCUAGAAGACGGGGCACCUGGUGUUCGGGGAUGCGUCUGUCUCAGGCCGGUCUCCAUGGGUCAGGUAGCCUAGGGUGGGAGGAGGAGGGCGGCGGGCAGCCUAGCGUGGGAGGAGGAGGGCGGCGGGCAGCCCCACAGCCGGGAUCCAGGAGAAAGGAAGGGCCACUCACUUUCUCUUCUUCACAAAGUCCUGGGAACGCAGGGAGGGGAGACGGGGUCUCGCUCUAAAAGGCAGCUUUGUAGCCAAACUGCUCCCUCCAGGCAGGAAGAGAAUCCCCGCUCAGAAGAAAGGUGGGCCACCCCUGAUGACGGCAGGUGGCCCCAAGUGUUUGGAUGCGGUGGGCCCCACUGGUUUGGGCCUAACCUCAAGCGGCUGCUAAUGGUUCCAUGAUACUUUUCCCGCUAACACUUCACAGAGAUGUCUGACUGAUGUCCACUGCUCAGCCGCACCCCCUGAGCUGGUGAGCAUUCAGGCAGAGCACCCACCUCUACUUUUCUCACCCCUAAAAUCAGAGACUGGUUCUAAGCUGGUGCAGCCACCGCCCCUGCGUGCCGGAUGCAGGACUUUCCCUGCCAACACUGGACAGUCCCAGCAAAGCAGACGGUGGGUCGCUCUGUAUCUCUGAAGAACAGCUGGGCCUGCGUGUGUCAUUCUCAGGCAUCUGGCCCAGGCCUUCUCCUCCAGGAAGGUGGGGAGGGGCUGCUCGGCUCCGGGCACUGCCAGGGGCCGUGGGCCCCACAUCCUUUCCAGGCUGUUCCGCAGCAUCUGCCUUCAUACUCACAGCCACCGCGGCGUGCGUCCCAGGGGUUCUCAGAAUAGAAUUCUGUGCCUCUCUCGCCUCUGGAAGUGACCGUGCUCUGUAGGAAAAUAUCACAGCACGCCGGCCUCAAAAGGCCAUGACGUGGCUCCAAACGCUAGAGACUGCUAGCAAUUUGCAAGUUUACGUGAAAAGCUUUGUGAUUUUCCAACACCCUGAGUAGUUCUAGCCAAAAUGCGUGAUUGGCCUCACACUAGACGCUUGCUGUAAUUGUGUCUCUGUAUUAAAUUGACCGUCCUUUGGAGCUUCAGAAUGGACCAGGAGGAAAAGGUAAAUACCAAGCUCGCUACAACCUCAGAGGCAUCAACGCCCUCCUGCUACAGACGCAUCUGUUCUCACCUGGCUCCUGCCAGCUGCCCUGGGAGAGGCCACAAAAUGCCCUCCAUGGACAGAAGACCUGAGAACCUUCGGGGCUCCUGCUGUCACUCACUGUGUUGAAGAACCGCCCGGUCAGCACGCUGGGCCCUAUACACAUACACACACGGCUCUGCGGAGGACGAGGAAGGGCCGUCAGAUGAGACUUCACCGUGAAAAAUGUGCAGAGACACAACAAUCUCGCUGAAUGAAAACUACAGACUCUAAUUUAUAAAAACUGUCUGUUUCAAAAGCCCCAAAUGUUUACAUUCUCCGAUUCAUCAUUCCUUCUUCUAAUUUAUUUUAGGAAAUAAUGCAAAGUACUCACAAAAAAAAUUUAUACAGAAAGAUGUUCAUUGCAGAAUUCAUUAUAAUAAAGAAAACCUGAG
Molecule: long non-coding RNA, 1921 nt
Filed under: Homo sapiens (human)
Lineage: Eukaryota; Metazoa; Chordata; Mammalia; Primates; Hominidae
Description: novel trancript
Source: RNAcentral